AAUGGGCGAAAGCCUGACGCAGCAACGCCGCGUGAGCGAAGACGGCCUUCGGGUUGUAAAGCUCUGUCAGGAGGGACGAAGCCACUCAGGUGAAUAGCCGAGAGGGUGACGGUACCUCCAGAGGAAGCCCCGGCUAACUACGUGCCAGCAGCCGCGGUAAUACGUAGGGGGCGAGCGUUGUCCGGAAUCAUUGGGCGUAAAGCGCGUGUAGGCGGCCAUCCAAGUCCGAUGUGAAAGCUCGGGGCUCAACCCCGAGUCUGCAUUGGAAACUGGAUGGCUUGAGUCCGGAAGAGGAGACUGGAAUUCCUGGUGUAGCGGUGAAAUGCGCAGAUAUCAGGAAGAACACCGGUGGCGAAGGCGGGUCUCUGGGACGGUACUGACGCUGAGACGCGAAAGCGUGGGGAGCAAA
RNAcentral lists this ribosomal RNA (409 nucleotides) under uncultured bacterium. Its description in RNAcentral is "bacterial SSU rRNA". It matches the Rfam family "Bacterial small subunit ribosomal RNA", at positions 370 to 772 of the family's 1533-position model. The record is from RNAcentral.